This 76-nucleotide transfer RNA is filed under the name Prolixibacter bellariivorans. RNAcentral's name for it is "tRNA-Pro". It matches the Rfam family "tRNA". Rfam says of the family: Transfer RNA (tRNA) molecules are approximately 80 nucleotides in length. Their secondary structure includes four short double-helical elements and three loops (D, anti-codon, and T loops). Lineage: Bacteria; Pseudomonadati; Bacteroidota; Bacteroidia; Marinilabiliales; Prolixibacteraceae. RNAcentral also lists the same sequence under 3 other names. The record is from RNAcentral.
CGGGGUGUAGCUCAGCUUGGUUAGAGUACUCGUCUGGGGGGCGAGGGGUCGCAAGUUCAAAUCUUGUCACCCCGAC